GGUGACGGAGAAGGAUUUUGUGGU
Molecule: microRNA, 24 nt
Filed under: Populus tomentosa
Lineage: Eukaryota; Viridiplantae; Streptophyta; Magnoliopsida; Malpighiales; Salicaceae
Description: Pto-N14
Source: RNAcentral